RNAcentral lists this microRNA precursor (78 nucleotides) under Operophtera brumata (winter moth). Its description in RNAcentral is "mir-981 microRNA precursor family". It matches the Rfam family "mir-981 microRNA precursor family". The record is from Rfam by way of RNAcentral. Lineage: Eukaryota; Metazoa; Arthropoda; Insecta; Lepidoptera; Geometridae.
CCACUUAUGAUUCGGGUUUCGAGAUAAUGUAACCGUGACAAUCUGGUUCGUUGUCGACGAAACCUGCAAAAUAAGCGG